AACGUAGGAGGCGAGCGUUGUCCGGAUUUACUGGGCGUAAAGAGUGCGUAGGCGGCAUAGUAAGUCUCAUGUGAAAUCUCCUGGCUCAACCGGGAGGGGUCAUGGGAAACUGCUACGCUUGAGGGCAGUAGAGGAGAGCGGAAUUCCGGGAGUAGUGGUGAAAUGCGUAGAUACCCGGAGGAACACCCGUGGCGAAAGCGGCUCUCAGGACUGUACCUGACGCUGAGGCACGAAAGCGUGGGUAGCAAAUCGG
Molecule: unclassified non-coding RNA, 253 nt
Filed under: uncultured Dehalococcoidia bacterium
Lineage: Bacteria; Bacillati; Chloroflexota; Dehalococcoidia
Description: contains 16S-23S intergenic spacer region
Rfam family: Bacterial small subunit ribosomal RNA
Source: RNAcentral